UUUGAUGUCUUUUUCACCAAGCAUUCAUUAAAAGAGAGGCUUUUGGCAGAGAUCUGACUUCAUAUGCUUUAUGCAGCACUCUGCGUGUGGAAUGCAAAGACUAGUGUUGGAGGGAACGGGACAGCAAUAGUGGAAAGCCACAAUAGAAAACCUGAACUCAAGACAACAACAGUGGAAAGCCACAAUAGAAAACCUGAACUCAAGACAACAACAAUUGAAAGCCACAAUGCAAAGCCUGAACUCAGGACAGCAACAACGGAAAGCCACAAUGCAAUGCCUGAAGUCGACCAUUCUCAAGAUGUAGUCGCUCAAAGCAGUUUCACGAGCUUCAAGUUUGAC
RNAcentral lists this long non-coding RNA (339 nucleotides) under Capsella rubella. RNAcentral's name for it is "long non-coding RNA (CRUB_LNC001949)". The record is from RNAcentral. Lineage: Eukaryota; Viridiplantae; Streptophyta; Magnoliopsida; Brassicales; Brassicaceae.